This 1372-nucleotide ribosomal RNA is filed under the name uncultured bacterium. RNAcentral's name for it is "bacterial SSU rRNA". It matches the Rfam family "Bacterial small subunit ribosomal RNA", at positions 28 to 1381 of the family's 1533-position model. The record is from RNAcentral.
GAUGAACGCUGGCGGCGUGCCUAAUACAUGCAAGUCGAGCGAACGGACGAGAAGCUUGCUUCUCUGAUGUUAGCGGCGGACGGGUGAGUAACACGUGGAUAACCUACCUAUAAGACUGGGAUAACUUCGGGAAACCGGAGCUAAUACCGGAUAAUAUUUUGAACCGCAUGGUUCAAAAGUGAAAGACGGUCUUGCUGUCACUUAUAGAUGGAUCCGCGCUGCAUUAGCUAGUUGGUAAGGUAACGGCUUACCAAGGCAACGAUGCAUAGCCGACCUGAGAGGGUGAUCGGCCACACUGGAACUGAGACACGGUCCAGACUCCUACGGGAGGCAGCAGUAGGGAAUCUUCCGCAAUGGGCGAAAGCCUGACGGAGCAACGCCGCGUGAGUGAUGAAGGUCUUCGGAUCGUAAAACUCUGUUAUUAGGGAAGAACAUAUGUGUAAGUAACUGUGCACAUCUUGACGGUACCUAAUCAGAAAGCCACGGCUAACUACGUGCCAGCAGCCGCGGUAAUACGUAGGUGGCAAGCGUUAUCCGGAAUUAUUGGGCGUAAAGCGCGCGUAGGCGGUUUUUUAAGUCUGAUGUGAAAGCCCACGGCUCAACCGUGGAGGGUCAUUGGAAACUGGAAAACUUGAGUGCAGAAGAGGAAAGUGGAAUUCCAUGUGUAGCGGUGAAAUGCGCAGAGAUAUGGAGGAACACCAGUGGCGAAGGCGACUUUCUGGUCUGUAACUGACGCUGAUGUGCGAAAGCGUGGGGAUCAAACAGGAUUAGAUACCCUGGUAGUCCACGCCGUAAACGAUGAGUGCUAAGUGUUAGGGGGUUUCCGCCCCUUAGUGCUGCAGCUAACGCAUUAAGCACUCCGCCUGGGGAGUACGACCGCAAGGUUGAAACUCAAAGGAAUUGACGGGGACCCGCACAAGCGGUGGAGCAUGUGGUUUAAUUCGAAGCAACGCGAAGAACCUUACCAAAUCUUGACAUCCUUUGACAACUCUAGAGAUAGAGCUUUCCCCUUCGGGGGACAAAGUGACAGGUGGUGCAUGGUUGUCGUCAGCUCGUGUCGUGAGAUGUUGGGUUAAGUCCCGCAACGAGCGCAACCCUUAAGCUUAGUUGCCAUCAUUAAGUUGGGCACUCUAAGUUGACUGCCGGUGACGAACCGGAGGAAGGUGGGGAUGACGUCAAAUCAUCAUGCCCCUUAUGAUUUGGGCUACACACGUGCUACAAUGGACAAUACAAAGGGCAGCGAAACCGUGAGGUCAAGCAAAUCCCAUAAAGUUGUUCUCAGUUCGGAUUGUAGUCUGCAACUCGACUACAUGAAGCUGGAAUCGCUAGUAAUCGUAGAUCAGCAUGCUACGGUGAAUACGUUCCCGGGUCU